CGGAUGAACUGAGGGUAGCGGAGAAAUUCCAAUCGAACCUGGAGAUAGCUGGUUCUCUCCGAAAUAGCUUUAGGGCUAGCCUCAAGUGAUGAUUAUUGGAGGUAGAGCACUGUUUGGACGAGGGCCCUCUCGGGUUACCGAAUUCAGACAAACUCCGAAUGCCAAUUAAUUUAACUUGGGAGUCAGAACAUGGGUGAUAAGGUCCGUGUUCGAAAGGGAAACAGCCCAGACCACCAGCUAAGGUCCCA
This 248-nucleotide ribosomal RNA is filed under the name Staphylococcus aureus. RNAcentral's name for it is "partial 23S ribosomal RNA". It matches the Rfam family "Bacterial large subunit ribosomal RNA", at positions 801 to 1049 of the family's 2925-position model. Lineage: Bacteria; Bacillati; Bacillota; Bacilli; Caryophanales; Staphylococcaceae. The record is from RNAcentral.